AAUGAACGCUGGCGGCAGGCCUAACACAUGCAAGUCGAGCGCGCCCAUCGGGGUGAGUGGCGGACGGGUGAGUAACGUGUGGGAACGUGCCCUUUUCUACGGAAUAGCCUCGGGUAAUUGAGAGUAAUACCGUAUACGCCCUUUUGGGGAAAGAUCUAUCGGAAUAGGAUCGGCCCGCGUUGGUUUAGGUAGUUGGUAGGGUAAUGGCCUACCAAGCCGACGAUCCAUAGCUGGUUUGAGAGGAUGAUCAGCCACACUGGGACUGAGACACGGCCCAGACUCCUGCAGGAGGGAGCAGUGGGGAAUCUUAGACAAUGGGGGCGACCCUGAUGGAGCCAUGCCGCGUGAGUGCUGAAGGCCUUAGGGUUGUAAAGCACUUUCAGCUGGGAAGAUAAUGACGGUACCAGCAGAAGAAGCCCCGGCUAACUCCGUG
RNAcentral lists this ribosomal RNA (433 nucleotides) under uncultured bacterium. RNAcentral's name for it is "partial 16S ribosomal RNA". It matches the Rfam family "Bacterial small subunit ribosomal RNA", at positions 29 to 507 of the family's 1533-position model. The record is from RNAcentral.